ACGGCGCAUGGAGCAGGACGGCACCCUGACCUCUCCGUGGUUGUGGUCGGGACUUUGACCAGCGGCUGCGGCCUUCCGCCGGUGGCCAUCGUCACCGUGACUUGUUCCUGCUCAGGCAAGGCCACGACGCGGAGGAAGAGGCUUUGUGAGCACAGACAGAGCAGGUGCCAUGUGAGCAGUGGCCAGGCUUGCCCAUGUUGCAGGACAUCAGGGGCUGAUCCUGGGAGGUUCAACCCAAGGUUCUUCGUGGAGACACCGCGGCUUUCCAUUUCCUCAGAGGCGUAGGAGAACGAGUCUGCCGAGACUUCCCAGUCCGGGAACAGUGCGGUGUCCUUAUGCCCCUCGCCUCGGAAGAGGAACGAGAUCCCCUGGGCCCAGGGUUCCGUCUCAGGUCCUUUUCAUUCCACAUUCCUGUGGGGAGAAGAUAAAUCUGCUGCAAGUUUAAGGACACAUUCAAAUCCAGGUGAGUUUAGUGUGAGAGAUAGUGGAAAAGGAGACAGUGAAUCGAAUGACAACAGUUCUGAUAUCAGUAGAGAAUGACAACAGUUCUGAUAUCAAGAAAGCACUUUUUGGAAUGAUUGCAAAGCAAGAGGUUGUUUCAGAUCAUUCAGAACAAAAAACAUUUAAGGAUCCUGAAAGGUUCAUCCAGGCAUUUCAUCGCAUCAUGAAAACAGCUACAGGACUGUACUCUCUUCAAGUACCCGUUGCCCUCACGUUUCCCA
This is a long non-coding RNA of Globicephala melas (long-finned pilot whale), 722 nucleotides long. RefSeq lists it as uncharacterized. NCBI's taxonomy places the organism in Eukaryota, Metazoa, Chordata, Mammalia, Artiodactyla, Delphinidae. The record is from RefSeq and is a predicted model, not a curated record.